Molecule: long non-coding RNA, 595 nt
Filed under: Marmota monax (woodchuck)
Lineage: Eukaryota; Metazoa; Chordata; Mammalia; Rodentia; Sciuridae
Source: RNAcentral
GGUCAGUGAGAUUAAGCAAAGUCAUAUAGACAUUGAGUAGCACAACUGAUAGUUUGAACCAAAAUUAGUCUGAUGCCAAAGCCCUUUCCACUUACAAGCUCUCUCCCUCUAUUAGACUGUAAGCCCCUCAGCAGCAGAAAAUGCCUUACUCAUCUUCAUGUCCCAGGAACUUUACAGAAUGGGUGCUCAACAAAUGUUUAUUGAGAUGUUCAGUUAACCAGCUGGAUUCAAGUGGAGGAAUACUAGAGGUAGGGGACCAAUCAGAAGGCCAUUGAUUGCAGGAUUAGAGAUAGUUAUAGUAAGUAGCAGAAUUAACUCCAUGCAGUUAAAAACAGAAGGGUGAAGGACAAAGAAAUAUUUAAGAGGUGGAAUUGACAGAAUGUUUGGAUAAAAUUGAUAGAAUAUAAGUGGCUGGAUAUAAAAGGAGAGGGGAAGUAGGUGUCUUUAUUGACUCCCAGGUGUCUGAGUGGAGAAAGUGAGUGGCUAGGCUUGCCCUUCACUCAAAUACAGAUUAAAAGACACAAAUGUGUGUUUGAGUUUGCUCUGACAUGUUCACAUGAAUAUGACUCUUCAGCUGUUGGACAAAUGGGGCUGG